CUUUCCCUCUUUCUUCAUGCCUUACACAUGCAAGUCGAACGGCAACAUGGGGAGUUUGACCUGUUGGCGUUUGCGGCAGGCGGGAGUGUUACACGUGAAUAAGCUACUUAUUAGGCUGGGGCAAGUUCGAAGCAGCGUUGAUACCACAGGCUAACUAAUUGUACCGGAUGGUGCACUAGUGAAAGACGGCUUUGCUGUUACCUAAAGACGGAUCCGCGACUCAUUAGCUAGUUGGUAAGGUAACGGCCUACCAAGGCGACGAUGCGUAGCCGGCCUGAGAGGGUGAUCAGCCACACUGGAACUGAGACACGGUCCAGACUCCUACGGGAGGCAGCAGUGGGGAAUCUUCGGCAAUGGGCGAAAGCCUGACCGAGCAACGCCGCGUGAGUGAAGAAGGUCUUCGGGUUGUAAAGCUCUUUUGUUGGGAAAGAAAAAAUUUGUACUAAUACGUGCACGUCUUGACGGUACCGAAAGAAUAAGCACCGGCUAACUACGUG
RNAcentral lists this ribosomal RNA (497 nucleotides) under uncultured bacterium. Its description in RNAcentral is "partial 16S ribosomal RNA". It matches the Rfam family "Bacterial small subunit ribosomal RNA", at positions 36 to 507 of the family's 1533-position model. The record is from RNAcentral.